UAGCUAAAGCGUUACGUAUGUUUGGUGGAGAUCAUAUUCACUUUGGUACCGUAGUAGGUAAACUUGAAGGAGAAAGAGACAUCACUUUGGGCUUUGUUGAUUUACUACGUGAUGAUUUUAUUGAAAAAGAUUGAAGUCACGAUAUUUAUUUCACUCAAGAUUGGGUCUCUCUACCAUGUGUUAUUCUCGUGGCUUCAGGGGGUAUUCACGUUUGGCAUAUUUCUGCUCUGN
Molecule: long non-coding RNA, 231 nt
Filed under: Olea europaea subsp. europaea
Lineage: Eukaryota; Viridiplantae; Streptophyta; Magnoliopsida; Lamiales; Oleaceae
Source: RNAcentral